RNAcentral lists this ribosomal RNA (435 nucleotides) under Fusobacteria bacterium oral taxon 220. Its description in RNAcentral is "bacterial SSU rRNA". It matches the Rfam family "Bacterial small subunit ribosomal RNA", at positions 28 to 476 of the family's 1533-position model. Lineage: Bacteria; Fusobacteriati; Fusobacteriota. The record is from RNAcentral.
GAUGAAUGCUGACAGAAUGCUUAACACAUGCAAGUCUACUUGAAUUUGGGUUUUUAACUUAGGUUUGGGUGGCGGACGGGUGAGUAACGCGUAAAGAACUUGCCUCACAGCUAGGGACAACAUUUAGAAAUGAAUGCUAAUACCUAAUAUUAUGAUAAUAGGGCAUCCUAUAAUUAUGAAAGCUAUAUGCGCUGUGAGAGAGCUUUGCGUCCUAUUAGCUAGUUGGUAAGGUAAAGGCUUACCAAGGCGAUGAUAGGUAGCCGGCCUGAGAGGGUGGACGGCCACAAGGGGACUGAGAUACGGCCCUUACUCCUACGGGAGGCAGCAGUGGGGAAUAUUGGACAAUGGAGGAAACUCUGAUCCAGCAAUUCUGUGUGUGUGAAGAAGGUCUUCGGAUUGUAAAACACUUUUAGUUGGGAAGAAACAAAUGACGGU